CUUAGCUUUCUUAAAGUUUUUAUCAUUGCAAAACACCAAUAAAUGUCUUAACAUUUAGUAGAUCAGAUUGGUGUGGAGUGUUCUCUUGCCUCAGUUAGAAUAUUGCACAAAAACAGUAGAAUCAUAUCAGUCACCAAGCACGCCAACACCUUCUCAUCCUGUUGAAGAAUUCGCUCGUACCAAGAUCCCUGGUAAUUAGUAAAUACCAACUGAGUCACCAAUGGUUUUUUUUUCCUCUGUAAAUCAAUUUCAAGCACACAGUCUCUUUCCAAUUAGGCACUGCCUGCAGCAGAAAGGUAAUGUCAGAAACCUCUACUCCAUAUGUUGAAGGCAAGGAUACAGGAAUUCUGUUGGCAAAAGCACAUGCUGAAACAAAUUAAGGCUAAAAGGAGGCAUAUUGACAAAUCAGUGCUUAAAAACUGUGAGAGUCUAGGAAAGAGUUUUAUGUCACAGCUCUGAUUGUUUUUGCUCUGUUUUGCUUUCUUUCCAUACAAUGUUCUUCGGAAAGAGGCAAAUUAUAUUUCUCUUUCCUGUCACCACUUCUGCCUGUGGGCUGGUGUGAUUUCGAGAUGCAUCAAGGGAAACUCCAUGUGAGAAGGGAUGACUCAUUACUGACAGUAGAGAUCGUGGAAGUGUCCAGAGAAGGUGCAAACACUAGAUGGCUUUUGGACAGGACGUACAGAUGUUGUCCUGGAGCAGCUGGAAAAGUUGUCUGAGGAACCACCACUGUAAUUUCCAUAAGUUCUUUCAACUUCUAGUACUAAAGACACUGAUGUAGCUACUGAGUUUAUCAUUGUAUUAGUAUUAAUGGAUAUUAUUGAAUCCCUAAUCGAAAAUAAAGAUGGUGUUGGCUCCCAG
This 858-nucleotide long non-coding RNA is filed under the name Rattus norvegicus (Norway rat). RNAcentral describes it as "long non-coding RNA NONRATT032470". Lineage: Eukaryota; Metazoa; Chordata; Mammalia; Rodentia; Muridae. The record is from RNAcentral.